RNAcentral lists this long non-coding RNA (623 nucleotides) under Salvator merianae (Argentine black and white tegu). RNAcentral describes it as "lncRNA (ENSSMRG00000000218.1)". Lineage: Eukaryota; Metazoa; Chordata; Lepidosauria; Squamata; Teiidae. The record is from RNAcentral.
GGUCAGACAAGCAGCACUUUUCAAUAAUUGAUGAUGCUGAGUUUCUAAGUAAAACCAAAAAUGACAGAUGAGUUAACAGAAGACAAGAGCAUAAAAGUCUGUCCAGUUUCUUUCCUCUGCAGACUAAAGAGAAAUGAGUGAUUAAAGUCCAAGCUUGGGAACUGUAGCACUAAGGUUACAGCUCAGAUUCCAUUAAAAGAAAAGAAAAGAAAAGAAAAGAAAAGAAAAGAAAAGAAAAGAAAAGAAAAGAAAAGAAAAGAAGAAAGAAAGAAAGAAAGAAAGAAAGAAAGAAAGAAAGAAAGAAAGAAAAGAAGAAAGAAAGAAAGAAAGAAAGAAAGAAAGAAAGAAAGAAAGAAAGAAAGAAAGAAAGAAAGAAAGAAAGAAAGAAAGAAUCUUGCACGGCAAGAGAAAGAGGAAAACUGUUUCUCAACAUGGAGGAAGAAGGAAGCAUAUCAGCNUCUGCAGUUGCCCUGCGAGUGUCUUCUUGGAGCUUACUGCUGCUAUCCCAGAAAACUUAGAAGACGAAAAGAAGAAGAAAAGAAGAAAUGUUGUUUGUUCUUGUCAUNCUAUCUAUAUUGUUGUACAUAGACUCAAAUAAAUGCACUCAUAUAUCUGCUACUUCA